RNAcentral lists this transfer RNA (74 nucleotides) under Armatimonadota bacterium. RNAcentral describes it as "Armatimonadetes bacterium tRNA-Pro". It matches the Rfam family "tRNA". From Rfam's summary of the family: Transfer RNA (tRNA) molecules are approximately 80 nucleotides in length. Their secondary structure includes four short double-helical elements and three loops (D, anti-codon, and T loops). Lineage: Bacteria; Bacillati; Armatimonadota. The record is from RNAcentral.
CGGGGCGUGGCUCAGCUUGGUAGAGCGCUGCGUUCGGGUCGCAGAGGUCGUGGGUUCGAAUCCCGCCGCCCCGA